RNAcentral lists this ribosomal RNA (492 nucleotides) under uncultured bacterium. RNAcentral's name for it is "partial 16S ribosomal RNA". It matches the Rfam family "Bacterial small subunit ribosomal RNA", at positions 29 to 507 of the family's 1533-position model. The record is from RNAcentral.
AGUGAACGCUGGCGGUAGGCCUAACACAUGCAAGUCGAACGGCAGCACAGUAAGAGCUUGCUCUUACGGGUGGCGAGUGGCGGACGGGUGAGGAAUACAUCGGAAUCUACUUUUUCGUGGGGGAUAACGUAGGGAAACUUACGCUAAUACCGCAUACGACCUACGGGUGAAAGCAGGGGAUCUUCGGACCUUGCGCGAUUGAAUGAGCCGAUGUCGGAUUAGCUAGUUGGCGGGGUAAAGGCCCACCAAGGCGACGAUCCGUAGCUGGUCUGAGAGGAUGAUCGGCCACACUGGAACUGAGACACGGUCCAGACUCCUACGGGAGGCAGCAGUGGGGAAUAUUAGGCAAUGGGCGCGAGCCUGAUCCAGCCAUACCGCGUGGGUGGAGAAGGCCUUCGGGUUGUAAAGCCCUUUUGUUGGGAAAGAAAAGCAGCAGGUUAAUACCCCGCUGUUCUGACGGUACCCAAAGAAUAAGCACCGGCUAACUUCGUG